RNAcentral lists this non-coding RNA (87 nucleotides) under Rheinheimera sp. RNAcentral describes it as "c-di-GMP sequence". It matches the Rfam family "c-di-GMP-I riboswitch aptamer". From Rfam's summary of the family: GEMM was predicted in a large-scale screen for bacterial structured RNA regulatory elements. Genes associated with GEMM are involved in a diverse array of functions, including chemotaxis regulation, signal transduction, secretion and chitin. The record is from RNAcentral. Lineage: Bacteria; Pseudomonadati; Pseudomonadota; Gammaproteobacteria; Chromatiales; Chromatiaceae.
ACUCAGCAGUGGCACGUCAGCUGAAAAGCUGCACACGCAAAACUAUGGGCCUAAGGUUGGAUCAACUAAGGUUGCCAGGUUGCAGCA